RNAcentral lists this ribosomal RNA (468 nucleotides) under uncultured bacterium. RNAcentral describes it as "partial 16S ribosomal RNA". It matches the Rfam family "Bacterial small subunit ribosomal RNA", at positions 28 to 507 of the family's 1533-position model. The record is from RNAcentral.
GACGAACGCUGGCGGCGUGCUUAACACAUGCAAGUCGAACGGAUAGGCCCUGCUUUUGUGGGGUGCUCGAGUGGCGCACGGGUGUGUAACACGUGAGUAACCUGCCCUUGACUUUGGGACAACUUCAGGAAACCGGGGCUAAUACCGGCUAGGAGCUCCUGCUGCAUGGUGGGGGUUGGAAAGUUUCGGCGGUUGGGGAUGGACUCGCGGCUUAUCAGCUUGUUGGUGGGGUAGUGGCUUACCAAGGCUUUGACGGGUAGCCGGCCUGAGAGGGUGACCAGCCACAUUGGGACUGCGAUACGGCCCAGACUGCUACGGGGGGCAGCGGUGGGGAGUAUUGCACAAUGGGCGGAAGCCUGAUGAGGCAGCGCAGCGUGCGAAAAGACGUACUACGGGUGAGAAACCGCUGUAGCCUGAUACGAAGCGGUAGUGACGGUAAUGGGAAAAGAAGCACCGGCUAACUACGUG